RNAcentral lists this long non-coding RNA (392 nucleotides) under Anser cygnoides (Swan goose). RNAcentral describes it as "lncRNA (ENSACDG00005013615.1)". Lineage: Eukaryota; Metazoa; Chordata; Aves; Anseriformes; Anatidae. The record is from RNAcentral.
AUGUCUACUUCUUCACAGCACACAGUCUCUCAGAUUUUCCGAUCACAGUCAUUGAUCAGUCAUCAGAUUUAUUGUGAAUUUGUAUCUCUUUUUGCAUCUUUGCUUCUUAGACAUAUUGAGUUUGUGCAAGCACCAGUAUCUGAAUCAACAGCAAGAAUGAAGACAGAGCCCAAACUAGGAAGUGAUGCUAUGGGGUCUCUUGUGAUGCCUAUAUAGCCAGUGUUGGCACUGGUGCCUUGAGUUAAGCUAGCAGAGCUUUCCAGAGAUUUCCCUCACCUGCUUGCCUCAUACAGCUUCCUCCUUAUGGAUGGUCUGCUUUUCCUCUUUCAUUUACAAUAUUAUCUUUCAAAAGACCAAAUAAAUGCAGCUUUGAAAAUCUUUUCUUGUCCUUC